Suricata suricatta (meerkat) is the source of this 2141-nucleotide long non-coding RNA. RefSeq lists it as uncharacterized. Lineage: Eukaryota; Metazoa; Chordata; Mammalia; Carnivora; Herpestidae. The record is from RefSeq and is a predicted model, not a curated record. The transcript is spliced from 3 exons.
CAUAAGCGCCUUCCCAGGCAACACAGACAUGAAUAGUGACAGCCACAUGCAUGCGCCAGCUCCAGCCGUCCCCUACCUGUCCCCCCCGCAGCUGCUGACAGGCCACAGGUCUGGGGGUGCAGGGAGCUGGAGCUACCGACAGACAGAAGCCAACCGACACAAAUGCACAGGCACAGAGUUCUCUCGCCAAGGGCAGAAGGAAGAAGGCUGUUUUACCAAACUGAACAGCCAGUGAGGAUGGUCUGGGCGGAGGACACAGAACCAGCAGUUUGAAGAGGAGGCUGACUGAUCUUGCCAGUCUGCGGGCUCCACAAAGUGCCGCUGGCCAGCAAGGGGCCAGUCCCCACAGACCAGUGCAUGCCGCUGCUGGCCGAGGCAAACCCAGCCAGGUGCCUGUUCUUGCCAUCGUGAGGUCUUUACCGCCUUCUACCCACAUGUCUUCCUGUCUCCACCUCUGAUUCCUCGGUCCGGACAGAAUGACUUCACUUAAUCCAAGGAUGACAGUCGUUUCUUUUACUGACCUAGAACCAAGUUUCACUCAUGAUCUCUGGACCUAAAGGGUGCAUAUGUUUUGACAUUGAAAUAUCUGGAGGGGAGGCUACUUGGAGAGUGGCAGGAGUAUUAAAAUCCCAGCUGGUUAUUUGCUUACAAAAGUUCCAAACAAAAUAGUGGCCCACCUUUGUGUUCUGGGGUCUGGAGGAACAAAUCACUCCCUGUACCACUUCCCAGAACACAAUAGCCAUUCUAAGCACACCUUUGCCAGCCUGACAGUUAUUUUAUUGCACUUGGAAAACCAGAAUCAUCACAGCCUGCCAAGGAAGUCAAGAGUGAAAGGUUAAAGUGUCUCAUGAGCUACUGGAAGGUGAUGCCAUCAAUGCUGGGAGACCUCUCGCCAGGCCUGGGGCCCAGACCAUGCAAUCCGCUCCAUGUGCCAUGCUGGGCCCAUGGGAUCCAUCCACGUGCAGGAGGAGGUCACGGACAGGUUUGAGCAAGAAGUAACAGAGGAUGACCAGUAUCAUAAAGACCACUCUGGGUCCAAAGUGAUGAGCAGAAUGGAGGGAAAGUGGGAGCCGGGCAACCAAUUCGAAGGCCUUUGCAGUGAAGGCCUCCCAGUGUUGCUGGACGUGGGGGGUGGACAAGUGAGGGCAGACGAAUUCGAGAUCUACAUGAGGGCCAUCGCAAGGGCUUGGGGAUCUGGAGGCAGAGAAAGGUGUGUGUCAACAGACACCUCCCCAGAUCACCCGGUGCACUCUUUACUCUCCAUCCUCUACGUAACCCAUUCCCCCCACCAGCCUCCCCUCUGGAAGAAUCAGUUUGUUCUCUAUAGUUAAGAGUCUGUUUCUUGGUUUGCCUCUCUCUCACUUUUCCUUCUGCUCAUUUAUUUUGUUUCUUAAAUUCCACACAUGAGCAUAGAACUUCCGGCUUGAAAAAGCGAGUUAACAGCUGUGUACCCUAACGAGACCCUAAGGGAGGUCUGCAAAGGGGGUAUGAUAGAAAGACGCCAAGAGAUAAAACGUGGACCCUGUGAGUCAGAGCACCCAGGAGACACUCAGGUUAACUAGCUGCCGGAGUAGGCAUAAAAUGUCCCAUGAAGCACAGAGGAGUCCUGUGGAAUGACAGACGUCUGGGGCUUCCUCACUGGUGACCCUUCCCACCGCCCUCCGGGUGCUUGGAUGUCCUGCCGCUGUGUGGCAGCAGUCCCAGCAGAAGGUCUUGGUACCUAGCCCUGUGCCCUGCCUGUUAUACCACUGGGAUUACCACCUUGUGCACCUUGUGUAGGGGGCUGGGGGGAGCGGGAGGUUCCAAAUUAGACUGUCUCCUAGGGAAAUGUUAAUCCAGGUGGUAUCAGAUGCAGAGAAAGGUCUCUCUCUCUCUUAACAAAAGACCAGAGAAGACAGCCUAUUUUAGGAAAACAAUGACUCACUGAAAUCACAUCCUGCUCUCAAGCUAAUAUGCCUCCUUCUGGACUAGAACCUGGUUUCCUAUCAUGAUGGGUCUGUUUUCCAAGUCCCCCAUCAAAGGACGAAUCAAAAUGUCAUUUAGCAAUCUGCCUUCUAAUUAAAACUUGAGCCAUUUUUACAAAACCACAUUGAACUAAACAAUCCCACAUGGCAAUAAAGCACUGUGUUCUGCCGCCUUGA